AUUGAACGCUGGCGGCAGGCCUAACACAUGCAAGUCGAGCGGAGGAAGGGAGCUUGCUCCUGGAUUCAGCGGCGGACGGGUGAGUAAUGCCUAGGAAUCUGCCUGGCAGUGGGGGAUAACGUCCGGAAACGGGCGCUAAUACCGCAUACGUCCUGAGGGAGAAAGUGGGGGAUCUUCGGACCUCACGCUAUCAGAUGAGCCUAGGUCGGAUUAGCUAGUUGGUGGGGUAAAGGCCUACCAAGGCGACGAUCCGUAACUGGUCUGAGAGGAUGAUCAGUCACACUGGAACUGAGAAACGGUCCAGACUCCUACGGGAGGCAGCAGUGGGGAAUAUUGGACGAUGGGAGAAAGCCUGAUCCAGCCAUGCCGAGUGUGUGAAGAAGGUCUUCGGAUUGUAAAGCGCUUUAAGUUGGGAGGAAGGGCAGUAAGUUAAUACCUUGCUGUUUUGACGUUACCAACAGAAUAAGCACCGGCUAACUUCGUG
RNAcentral lists this ribosomal RNA (484 nucleotides) under uncultured bacterium. RNAcentral describes it as "partial 16S ribosomal RNA". It matches the Rfam family "Bacterial small subunit ribosomal RNA", at positions 30 to 507 of the family's 1533-position model. The record is from RNAcentral.